This 510-nucleotide ribosomal RNA is filed under the name uncultured bacterium. RNAcentral's name for it is "bacterial SSU rRNA". It matches the Rfam family "Bacterial small subunit ribosomal RNA", at positions 15 to 518 of the family's 1533-position model. The record is from RNAcentral.
GAUCAUGGCUCAGGAUGAACGCUAGCUACAGGCUUAACACAUGCAAGUCGAGGGCAGCAUGGAGUGCUUGCAAUCCUGAUGGCGACCGGCGCACGGGUGAGUAACGCGUAUCCAACCUUCCCCUUAGUAGGGCAUAGCCCGGUGAAAAUCGGAUUAAUACCCUAUGUUUUCCAAUGCAGACAUCUAAAAUGGAACAAAGGUUCACCGCUAAGGGAUGGGGAUGCGUCUGAUUAGGUAGUAGGCGGGGUAACGGCCCACCUAGCCUUCGAUCAGUAGGGGUUCUGAGAGGAAGGUCCCCCACAUUGGAACUGAGACACGGUCCAAACUCCUACGGGAGGCAGCAGUGAGGAAUAUUGGUCAAUGGGCGAGAGCCUGAACCAGCCAAGUAGCGUGCAGGAUGACGGCCCUAUGGGUUGUAAACUGCUUUUAUAUGGGGAUAAAGUUCACCACGUGUGGUGUUUUGUAGGUACCAUAUGAAUAAGGACCGGCUAAUUCCGUGCCAGCCGCUGC